This 623-nucleotide long non-coding RNA is filed under the name Hordeum vulgare. RNAcentral describes it as "long non-coding RNA (HVUL_LNC009273)". Lineage: Eukaryota; Viridiplantae; Streptophyta; Magnoliopsida; Poales; Poaceae. The record is from RNAcentral.
GCCGGGGCGAGCCUCUCAUGGACUACUCCAACAUGUGGUAGACCUGAAAUCUAUCCAUCCAUCUAUCCGAUGUACUACUGGAUCGUCUCCAUUUGCUUGCUGGUAGCUAUAGAUGGUUAAUUUGAUUGGUGCUAGCUCGUGGAUUGAUUAGUUGCUUCAUUAACUUUCAAUCAAGGAUCGGGUUAAUUAGGCAGUGGUGAUUCGAGGAGGAUGGUCCAUCGUGUGUUUGUUGAUGCGUGCAAGGCAUAAUGAUGGUCUGCGAGUAGAGGGAGUGCUGAUUAAUCUUAGGCUAAGAUGUGAUAACAAACUACUAGGAUGCAUCUGUAGUUUGUACAUGGUUAGCUGAUUUCUUGCCAUCAUACAGUUUAGCGAUUAGGGGACGAAUUGGAGAGUAGGAGAUAUACUGAGACCGAGUUGAUUCAGAAAUCUGAUUGUGUGUUUAUUGAAAUGAAUUAUCCCCCUUCUAUAUGUUUUAUUUAUUUGAUUGUUGUUUGAUCUUGUAUGUCAAGAUUGAUUUGAGGGUCUUGGUUACUUGACAGUACCGUGUCGAUUAGCCGCGCAUAUUUCCCGAUCCAAUGGUAGAUGUGUUUAAUAAGCUUGCAAAAUGCCGAAAUGGUUUGAAG